AUGGUGUAGCGGUUAUCACUCAGGACUUUAAAUCCUGCAACCCGAGUUCAAAUCUCGGU
Molecule: transfer RNA, 59 nt
Filed under: Strongyloides venezuelensis
Lineage: Eukaryota; Metazoa; Nematoda; Chromadorea; Rhabditida; Strongyloididae
Rfam family: tRNA
About the family: Transfer RNA (tRNA) molecules are approximately 80 nucleotides in length.
Source: Rfam by way of RNAcentral